Molecule: unclassified non-coding RNA, 224 nt
Filed under: Borreliella garinii
Lineage: Bacteria; Pseudomonadati; Spirochaetota; Spirochaetia; Spirochaetales; Borreliaceae
Also listed under: 1 other name
Description: partial 5S-23S ribosomal RNA intergenic spacer
Source: RNAcentral
CUGCGAGUUCGCGGGAGAGUAAGUUAUUGCCAGGGUUUUUAUUUUAUACUUUAAACAUUGAUUUUAUUUUUUAUGUUUUUAGAUGUUCAUGUUUUUGAAUGUUUUAUUUAAAUAAUAUAAAAAAUAAAAUAUAUAUUGACAUGGAUUAAACAAAGAUAUAUAUUAUUCUAUGUUGCAUAAGCAAAUUGGCAAAAUAGAGAUGGAAGAUAAAAAUAUGGUCAAAG